RNAcentral lists this ribosomal RNA (253 nucleotides) under uncultured bacterium. Its description in RNAcentral is "partial 16S ribosomal RNA". It matches the Rfam family "Bacterial small subunit ribosomal RNA", at positions 524 to 776 of the family's 1533-position model. The record is from RNAcentral.
UACGUAGGGGGCAAGCGUUGUCCGGAUUUACUGGGCGUAAAGAGCGUGUAGGCGGCCAAGCAGGUCCGUUGUGAAAACUGGAGGCUUAACCUCCAGACGUCGACGGAAACCGCGUGGCUAGAGUCCGGAAGAGGAGAGUGGAAUUCCUGGUGUAGCGGUGAAAUGCGCAGAUAUCGGGAAGAACACCCGUGGCGAAGGCGGCUCUCUGGGACGGUACUGACGCUGAGACGCGAAAGCGUGGGGAGCGAACAGG